This 203-nucleotide ribosomal RNA is filed under the name uncultured bacterium. RNAcentral describes it as "partial 16S ribosomal RNA". It matches the Rfam family "Bacterial small subunit ribosomal RNA", at positions 524 to 725 of the family's 1533-position model. The record is from RNAcentral.
UACAGAGGGUGCAAGCGUUGUUCGGAAUUAUUGGGCGUAAAGCGCGUGUAGGCGGCUUUGCAAGUCGGGUGUGAAAGCCCUCAGCUCAACUGAGGAAGUGCGCCCGAAACUGCAGAGCUUGAGUGCCGGAGAGGGUGGCGGAAUUCCCCAAGUAGAGGUGAAAUUCGUAGAUAUGGGGGAGGAACACCGGUGGCGAAGGCGGC